GACGAACGCUGGCGGCGUGCUUAACACAUGCAAGUCGAACGGAAAGGCCCUGCUUUUGUGGGGUGCUCGAGUGGCGAACGGGUGAGUAACAAGUGAGUAACCUGCCCUUGACUUUGGGAUAACUUCAGGAAACUGGGGCUAAUACCGGAUAGGAGCUCCUGCUGCAUGGUGGGGGUUGGAAAGUUUCGGCGGUUGGGGAUGGACUCGCGGCUUAUCAGCUUGUUGGUGGGGUAGUGGCUUACCAAGGCUUUGCCGGGUAGCCGGCCUGAGAGGGUGGCCGGCCACAUUGGGACUGAGAUACGGCCCAGACUCCUACGGGAGGCAGCAGUGGGGAAUCUUGCAGAAUGGGCGGAAGCCUGAUGCAGCAACGCCGCGUGCGGGAUGACGGCCUUCGGGUUGUAAACCGCUUUCGCCUGUGACGAAGCGUGAGUGACGGUAAUGGGUAAAGAAGCACCGGCUAACUACGUG
RNAcentral lists this ribosomal RNA (468 nucleotides) under uncultured bacterium. RNAcentral's name for it is "partial 16S ribosomal RNA". It matches the Rfam family "Bacterial small subunit ribosomal RNA", at positions 28 to 507 of the family's 1533-position model. The record is from RNAcentral.